AUAACAUUAGUGAUUGGGACAGUAGUCUAUGGCGGAUAGUCACAGCGAGCCGGGUCGUUGGAAGCCGGUACGGAUGCCUUAGAUGAAACGGGCCCAGGAAAUGGUUUGCCGAACCGAAAUUGCAGCAGUAGGCAAAUCCGGUCAUAGACCGUUAUGAAAACGAGGGGUCAAGCCAGAAUUAGGCUUGGCACUUAGAGUGGUACCACGGGAUCUUUACGGCUCUCGUCUCUUAU
Molecule: non-coding RNA, 233 nt
Filed under: Paenibacillus sp.
Lineage: Bacteria; Bacillati; Bacillota; Bacilli; Caryophanales; Paenibacillaceae
Description: T-box sequence
Rfam family: T-box leader
About the family: Uncharged tRNA acts as the effector for transcription antitermination of genes in the T-box leader family. T-boxes are found upstream of many aminoacyl-tRNA synthetase genes and some amino acid biosynthetic genes usually in Gram-positive bacteria.
Source: RNAcentral